This 352-nucleotide ribosomal RNA is filed under the name uncultured bacterium. RNAcentral describes it as "bacterial SSU rRNA". It matches the Rfam family "Bacterial small subunit ribosomal RNA", at positions 8 to 350 of the family's 1533-position model. The record is from RNAcentral.
AGAGUUUGAUCCUGGCUCAGGAUGAACGCUAGCUACAGGCUUAACACAUGCAAGUCGAGGGGAAACGACAUCGAAAGCUUGCUUUUGAUGGGCGUCGACCGGCGCACGGAUGAGUAACGCGUAUCCAACCUGCCCACCACUUGGGGAUAACCUUGCGAAAGUAAGACUAAUACCCAAUGACGUCUCUAGAAGACAUCUGAAAGAGAUUAAAGAUUUAUCGGUGAUGGAUGGGGAUGCGUCUGAUCAGCUUGUUGGCGGGGUAACGGCCACCAAGGCGACGAUCAGUAGGGGUUCUGGGAGGAAGGUCCCCCANAUUGGAACUGAGACACGGUCCAAACUCCUACGGGAGGCA